RNAcentral lists this ribosomal RNA (380 nucleotides) under Bacillus pumilus. Its description in RNAcentral is "bacterial SSU rRNA". It matches the Rfam family "Bacterial small subunit ribosomal RNA", at positions 1001 to 1381 of the family's 1533-position model. Lineage: Bacteria; Bacillati; Bacillota; Bacilli; Caryophanales; Bacillaceae. The record is from RNAcentral.
UAGAGAUAGGGCUUUCCCUUCGGGGACAGAGUGACAGGUGGUGCAUGGUUGUCGUCAGCUCGUGUCGUGAGAUGUUGGGUUAAGUCCCGCAACGAGCGCAACCCUUGAUCUUAGUUGCCAGCAUUCAGUUGGGCACUCUAAGGUGACUGCCGGUGACAAACCGGAGGAAGGUGGGGAUGACGUCAAAUCAUCAUGCCCCUUAUGACCUGGGCUACACACGUGCUACAAUGGACAGAACAAAGGGCUGCAAGACCGCAAGGUUUAGCCAAUCCCAUAAAUCUGUUCUCAGUUCGGAUCGCAGUCUGCAACUCGACUGCGUGAAGCUGGAAUCGCUAGUAAUCGCGGAUCAGCAUGCCGCGGUGAAUACGUUCCCGGGUCUG